ACAUGUUCCGCCAGAUCAUCAGUCAGGCCAAGAAACAUAUGAGUUUGAUCUACCUCUGUAUUUAUUGGAGCUGGAUGUACUGGAGCAGCACUGUAUCUCGAGUCCAGCAUUGUUCGAUGGAGAUGUUAGUUGGGACAGAAAGAAUAACCCAGAGCUGUGGAAGAAACUGGGUCCCAGUGAUUGAUACAGGUUCUAAUCAGUGAAUGUGGAUUACAGCAAAUGAAGAAAGAUGGUCUA
This 237-nucleotide long non-coding RNA is filed under the name Homo sapiens (human). RNAcentral describes it as "non-protein coding lnc-RUNX1T1-8:1". The record is from RNAcentral. Lineage: Eukaryota; Metazoa; Chordata; Mammalia; Primates; Hominidae.